CGCGUAGGCGGUUUGAUAAGUCGGAUGUGAAAGCCCCGGGCUCAACCUGGGAAUUGCAUUCGAUACUGUCUGACUAGAGUAUGAUAGAGGGUAGUGGAAUUCCCGGUGUAGCGGUGAAAUGCAUAGAUAUCGGGAGGAACAUCAGUGGCGAAGGCGACUACCUGGAUCAAUACUGACGCUGAGGUGCGAAAGCGGUGGGGAGCAAACA
This 208-nucleotide ribosomal RNA is filed under the name uncultured bacterium. RNAcentral describes it as "partial 16S ribosomal RNA". It matches the Rfam family "Bacterial small subunit ribosomal RNA", at positions 568 to 774 of the family's 1533-position model. The record is from RNAcentral.